RNAcentral lists this transfer RNA (68 nucleotides) under Alectorobius peruvianus. RNAcentral's name for it is "tRNA-Lys". The record is from RNAcentral. Lineage: Eukaryota; Metazoa; Arthropoda; Arachnida; Ixodida; Argasidae.
CGUUGAAUGGCUGAAAUUAAAGCACUGGUCUCUUAAACCAUACUAUAGUAUAUUAUUACUUUCAAUGA